GGUCUGUGAUGAAUAGUAAAAGGUCUGACAGAUUACACUUCCAUCACCCUUUCAACUCCCAGCAGUUUCUCACCCAUCAUACUCCAGUAAUGUUGUGACUGGGGGAGAGUUUGCUGACAAAUUGUGAUGCAUUCCGUUUGUGUUCCCUAGAGCACCACAGGCACAAUUCUGAUCUGCAUCCAACAGAACCAGUCAAAAGGAGUAUGGGGUUUUGGAGGUGCAUAUCUGGGUACAUGAUCUCAGACUUCCUUUCUGAGACC
Molecule: small nucleolar RNA, 260 nt
Organism: Pelodiscus sinensis (Chinese soft-shelled turtle)
Lineage: Eukaryota; Metazoa; Chordata; Testudines; Trionychidae
Product: small Cajal body-specific RNA 6
Source: Ensembl